Non-coding RNA from Pimephales promelas (fathead minnow), 165 nucleotides. NCBI's taxonomy places the organism in Eukaryota, Metazoa, Chordata, Actinopteri, Cypriniformes, Leuciscidae. The record is from RefSeq and is a predicted model, not a curated record.
UGUUUGUUUCAGAUCAAUGGUCAGCUUUGUCAUUGACACAACAGAGUGGCAGCUGACAGACCUUGUUGAAAGAUUUCAAGAGGAGGGGACUGAUGAGGAGAGUUUUCUUCUUUUAGAAGAGGCUACCAUCAACAGUUGAUCCCAAGAGCUGGCCCUGGGCUGAAG